RNAcentral lists this ribosomal RNA (1386 nucleotides) under Lactiplantibacillus plantarum subsp. plantarum. Its description in RNAcentral is "bacterial SSU rRNA". It matches the Rfam family "Bacterial small subunit ribosomal RNA", at positions 69 to 1429 of the family's 1533-position model. The record is from RNAcentral. Lineage: Bacteria; Bacillati; Bacillota; Bacilli; Lactobacillales; Lactobacillaceae.
AUUGAUUGGUGCUUGCAUCAUGAUUUACAUUUGAGUGAGUGGCGAACUGGUGAGUAACACGUGGGAAACCUGCCCAGAAGCGGGGGAUAACACCUGGAAACAGAUGCUAAUACCGCAUAACAACUUGGACCGCAUGGUCCGAGCUUGAAAGAUGGCUUCGGCUAUCACUUUUGGAUGGUCCCGCGGCGUAUUAGCUAGAUGGUGGGGUAACGGCUCACCAUGGCAAUGAUACGUAGCCGACCUGAGAGGGUAAUCGGCCACAUUGGGACUGAGACACGGCCCAAACUCCUACGGGAGGCAGCAGUAGGGAAUCUUCCACAAUGGACGAAAGUCUGAUGGAGCAACGCCGCGUGAGUGAAGAAGGGUUUCGGCUCGUAAAACUCUGUUGUUAAAGAAGAACAUAUCUGAGAGUAACUGUUCAGGUAUUGACGGUAUUUAACCAGAAAGCCACGGCUAACUACGUGCCAGCAGCCGCGGUAAUACGUAGGUGGCAAGCGUUGUCCGGAUUUAUUGGGCGUAAAGCGAGCGCAGGCGGUUUUUUAAGUCUGAUGUGAAAGCCUUUCGGCUCAACCGAAGAAGUGCAUCGGAAACUGGGAAACUUGAGUGCAGAAGAGGACAGUGGAACUCCAUGUGUAGCGGUGAAAUGCGUAGAUAUAUGGAAGAACACCAGUGGCGAAGGCGGCUGUCUGGUCUGUAACUGACGCUGAGGCUCGAAAGUAUGGGUAGCAAACAGGAUUAGAUACCCUGGUAGUCCAUACCGUAAACGAUGAAUGCUAAGUGUUGGAGGGUUUCCGCCCUUCAGUGCUGCAGCUAACGCAUUAAGCAUUCCGCCUGGGGAGUACGGCCGCAAGGCUGAAACUCAAAGGAAUUGACGGGGGCCCGCACAAGCGGUGGAGCAUGUGGUUUAAUUCGAAGCUACGCGAAGAACCUUACCAGGUCUUGACAUACUAUGCAAAUCUAAGAGAUUAGACGUUCCCUUCGGGGACAUGGAUACAGGUGGUGCAUGGUUGUCGUCAGCUCGUGUCGUGAGAUGUUGGGUUAAGUCCCGCAACGAGCGCAACCCUUAUUAUCAGUUGCCAGCAUUAAGUUGGGCACUCUGGUGAGACUGCCGGUGACAAACCGGAGGAAGGUGGGGAUGACGUCAAAUCAUCAUGCCCCUUAUGACCUGGGCUACACACGUGCUACAAUGGAUGGUACAACGAGUUGCGAACUCGCGAGAGUAAGCUAAUCUCUUAAAGCCAUUCUCAGUUCGGAUUGUAGGCUGCAACUCGCCUACAUGAAGUCGGAAUCGCUAGUAAUCGCGGAUCAGCAUGCCGCGGUGAAUACGUUCCCGGGCCUUGUACACACCGCCCGUCACACCAUGAGAGUUUGUAACACCCAAAGUCG